AACGUAGGACACAAGCGUUAUCCGGAGUUACUGGGCGUAAAGGGCGUGUAGGCGGACCUAUAAGUCUAUUCUGAAAGCUCCUGGCUAAACUGGGAGAGGCGAAUGGAGACUGUAGAUCUAGAGUGAGGAAAGAGGAAAGUGGAAUUCCGCGUGUAGUGGUGAAAUGCGUAGAGAUGCGGAGGAACACCAGUGGCGGAAGGCGGCCAACUGGUCCGGUACUGGACGACU
Molecule: ribosomal RNA, 228 nt
Filed under: uncultured bacterium
Lineage: Bacteria
Description: partial 16S ribosomal RNA
Rfam family: Bacterial small subunit ribosomal RNA
Source: RNAcentral